This 2492-nucleotide ribosomal RNA is filed under the name Escherichia coli. RNAcentral's name for it is "bacterial LSU rRNA". It matches the Rfam family "Bacterial large subunit ribosomal RNA", at positions 451 to 2925 of the family's 2925-position model. Lineage: Bacteria; Pseudomonadati; Pseudomonadota; Gammaproteobacteria; Enterobacterales; Enterobacteriaceae. The record is from RNAcentral.
GACCAUCCUCCAAGGCUAAAUACUCCUGACUGACCGAUAGUGAACCAGUACCGUGAGGGAAAGGCGAAAAGAACCCCGGCGAGGGGAGUGAAAAAGAACCUGAAACCGUGUACGUACAAGCAGUGGGAGCACGCUUAGGCGUGUGACUGCUUACCUUUUGUAUAAUGGGUCAGCGACUUAUAUUCUGUAGCAAGGUUAACCGAAUAGGGGAGCCGAAGGGAAACCGAGUCUUAACUGGGCGUUAAGUUGCAGGGUAUAGACCCGAAACCCGGUGAUCUAGCCAUGGGCAGGUUGAAGGUUGGGUAACACUAACUGGAGGACCGAACCGACUAAUGUUGAAAAAUUAGCGGAUGACUUGUGGCUGGGGGUGAAAGGCCAAUCAAACCGGGAGAUAGCUGGUUCUCCCCGAAAGCUAUUUAGGUAGCGCCUCGUGAAUUCAUCUCCGGGGGUAGAGCACUGUUUCGGCAAGGGGGUCAUCCCGACUUACCAACCCGAUGCAAACUGCGAAUACCGGAGAAUGUUAUCACGGGAGACACACGGCGGGUGCUAACGUCCGUCGUGAAGAGGGAAACAACCCAGACCGCCAGCUAAGGUCCCAAAGUCAUGGUUAAGUGGGAAACGAUGUGGGAAGGCCCAGACAGCCAGGAUGUUGGCUUAGAAGCAGCCAUCAUUUAAAGAAAGCGUAAUAGCUCACUGGUCGAGUCGGCCUGCGCGGAAGAUGUAACGGGGCUAAACCAUGCACCGAAGCUGCGGCAGCGACGCUGAUGCGUUGUUGGGUAGGGGAGCGUUCUGUAAGCCUGUGAAGGUGUGCUGUGAGGCAUGCUGGAGGUAUCAGAAGUGCGAAUGCUGACAUAAGUAACGAUAAAGCGGGUGAAAAGCCCGCUCGCCGGAAGACCAAGGGUUCCUGUCCAACGUUAAUCGGGGCAGGGUGAGUCGACCCCUAAGGCGAGGCCGAAAGGCGUAGUCGAUGGGAAACAGGUUAAUAUUCCUGUACUUGGUGUUACUGCGAAGGGGGGACGGAGAAGGCUAUGUUGGCCGGGCGACGGUUGUCCCGGUUUAAGCGUGUAGGCUGGUUUUCCAGGCAAAUCCGGAAAAUCAAGGCUGAGGCGUGAUGACGAGGCACUACGGUGCUGAAGCAACAAAUGCCCUGCUUCCAGGAAAAGCCUCUAAGCAUCAGGUAACAUCAAAUCGUACCCCAAACCGACACAGGUGGUCAGGUAGAGAAUACCAAGGCGCUUGAGAGAACUCGGGUGAAGGAACUAGGCAAAAUGGUGCCGUAACUUCGGGAGAAGGCACGCUGAUAUGUAGGUGAAGUUUCUUGCUUUUGGAGCUGAAAUCAGUCGAAGAUACCAGCUGGCUGCAACUGUUUAUUAAAAACACAGCACUGUGCAAACACGAAAGUGGACGUAUACGGUGUGACGCCUGCCCGGUGCCGGAAGGUUAAUUGAUGGGGUCAGCGCAAGCGAAGCUCUUGAUCGAAGCCCCGGUAAACGGCGGCCGUAACUAUAACGGUCCUAAGGUAGCGAAAUUCCUUGUCGGGUAAGUUCCGACCUGCACGAAUGGCGUAAUGAUGGCCAGGCUGUCUCCACCCGAGACUCAGUGAAAUUGAACUCGCUGUGAAGAUGCAGUGUACCCGCGGCAAGACGGAAAGACCCCGUGAACCUUUACUAUAGCUUGACACUGAACAUUGAGCCUUGAUGUGUAGGAUAGGUGGGAGGCUUUGAAGUGUGGACGCCAGUCUGCAUGGAGCCGGCCUUGAAAUACCACCCUUUAAUGUUUGAUGUUCUAACGUUGACCCGUUAUCCGGGUUGCGGACAGUGUCUGGUGGGUAGUUUGACUGGGGCGGUCUCCUCCUAAAGAGUAACGGAGGAGCACGAAGGUUGGCUAAUCCUGGUCGGACAUCAGGAGGUUAGUGCAAUGGCAUAAGCCAGCUUGACUGCGAGCGUGACGGCGCGAGCAGGUGCGAAAGCAGGUCAUAGUGAUCCGGUGGUUCUGAAUGGAAGGGCCAUCGCUCAACGGAUAAAAGGUACUCCGGGGAUAACAGGCUGAUACCGCCCAAGAGUUCAUAUCGACGGCGGUGUUUGGCACCUCGAUGUCGGCUCAUCACAUCCUGGGGCUGAAGUAGGUCCCAAGGGUAUGGCUGUUCGCCAUUUAAAGUGGUACGCGAGCUGGGUUUAGAACGUCGUGAGACAGUUCGGUCCCUAUCUGCCGUGGGCGCUGGAGAACUGAGGGGGGCUGCUCCUAGUACGAGAGGACCGGAGUGGACGCAUCACUGGUGUUCGGGUUGUCAUGCCAAUGGCACUGCCCGGUAGCUAAAUGCGGAAGAGAUAAGUGCUGAAAGCAUCUAAGCACGAAACUUGCCCCGAGAUGAGUUCUCCCUGACUCCUUGAGAGUCCUGAAGGAACGUUGAAGACGACGACGUUGAUAGGCCGGGUGUGUAAGCGCAGCGAUGCGUUGAGCUAACCGGUACUAAUGAACCGUGAGGCUUAACC